RNAcentral lists this ribosomal RNA (355 nucleotides) under uncultured bacterium. Its description in RNAcentral is "partial 16S ribosomal RNA". It matches the Rfam family "Bacterial small subunit ribosomal RNA", at positions 338 to 691 of the family's 1533-position model. The record is from RNAcentral.
ACUACGGGAGGCAGCAGUGAGGAAUAUUGGUCAAUGGUCGGGAGACUGAACCAGCCAAGCCGCGUGAGGGAUGAAGGUACAGAGUAUCGUAAACCUCUUUUGUCAGGGAACAAAGGCGGGGACGUGUCCCCGGAUGAGUGUACCUGAAGAAAAAGCAUCGGCUAACUCCGUGCCAGCAGCCGCGGUAAUAGGGAGGAUGCGAGCGUUAUCCGGAUUUAUUGGGUUUAAAGGGUGCGCAGGCGGUCUUUUAAGUGAGCGGUGAAACCCCGGGGUCCACCCCCGGCCCGCCGUUGAAACUGGCAGUCUCGAGUUGGAGAGAAGUAUGCGGAAUGCGCGGUGUAGCGGUGAAAUGCAU